RNAcentral lists this ribosomal RNA (484 nucleotides) under uncultured bacterium. RNAcentral's name for it is "partial 16S ribosomal RNA". It matches the Rfam family "Bacterial small subunit ribosomal RNA", at positions 30 to 507 of the family's 1533-position model. The record is from RNAcentral.
AUUGAACGCUGGCGGCAGGCCUAACACAUGCAAGUCGAGCGGAUGAAGGGAGCUUGCUCCUGGAUUCAGCGGCGGACGGGUGAGUAAUGCCUAGGAAUCUGCCUUGUAGUGGGGGAUAACGUCCGGAAACGGGCGCUAAUACCGCAUACGUCCUGAGGGAGAAAGUGGGGGAUCUUCGGACCUCACGCUAUCAGAUGAGCCUAGGUCGGAUUAGCUAGUUGGUGGGGUAAAGGCCUACCAAGGCGACGAUCCGUAACUGGUCUGAGAGGAUGAUCAGUCACACUGGAACUGAGACACGGUCCAGACUCCUACGGGAGGCAGCAGUGGGGAAUAUUGGACAAUGGGCGAAAGUCUGAUCCAGCCAUGCCGCGUGUGUGAAGAAGGUCUUCGGAUUGUAAAGCACUUUAAGUUGGGAGGAAGGGCAGUAAGUUAAUACCUUGCUGUUUUGACGUUACCAACAGAAUAAGCAACGGCUAACUUCGUG